GGCGAGAUGGCCGAGCGGUCCAAGGCGUCAGACUAAGGAUCUGAUCCAUUCGUGGGCGAGGGUUCGAAUCCCUCUCUCGUCA
RNAcentral lists this transfer RNA (82 nucleotides) under Phlebopus portentosus. RNAcentral describes it as "tRNA-Leu (AAG) (tRNA-Leu-AAG-2-1)". It matches the Rfam family "tRNA". Rfam says of the family: Transfer RNA (tRNA) molecules are approximately 80 nucleotides in length. The record is from RNAcentral. Lineage: Eukaryota; Fungi; Basidiomycota; Agaricomycetes; Boletales; Boletinellaceae.